Molecule: RNA transcript, 4033 nt
Organism: Neofelis nebulosa (Clouded leopard)
Lineage: Eukaryota; Metazoa; Chordata; Mammalia; Carnivora; Felidae
Exons: 3
Source: RefSeq, a predicted model, not a curated record
CCUGUAAGGUACAACUCAAGUUUCAAGUCGCAUUUAAACGCGGGGGUGGCCCUUAGCCAUUACGCCCUUCUUAAAGGGAAUUUUCACCGUCUCUCCCACUGGCCGACGAUGUUGUACUGGAAACCGUGGUCUCCUGUGUCCACUCGGACAGGACGCCCCCAAACCAGUUCUCUGUUUCUCUCACUCACGGAGGGCAGGUCAGGACCACGUGGCGAGGACCAAGCCCCAGCGAGUCCCGGUGAGGACGGGGCCGCCAGCAGGCGCUUCCCCACACCAGCCAGCAGGUGACAGACAAGCCAGGAGGGACGGCAAGGUGUCACCACUGACAGCCGCCAAAGACUCACAUCGACGGACACAAACGACAGGGCCCCGGUUCCAAAGGAGCAAAGGAUAGAACCGCACGAUUCCCGAAGAUCUGACCCAGAUGCACAAGCACUUUGGGAAGGUGUCCACAUUGCCAAGCAGUGGAGGAAACGCAGGUGAAAAGGACAACGGAACCGGACGCACUCGGUGACCACAGGAACGGGUUUGAUUAAAGCAGCCCGGCGCUGGCGAAAAACCACAAAUAUGCGCAUGCCGUGGCCCUGCCCUGGAGCCAAGCCCGCGACGCAGCACUCGUGCACACGCCAUCACCGUCCAGCAACGGGACGGUGCGGCUGGAGGUCCCUGCCCCAUGAGGGGGGCAGCCGAGGACAACACUCGAUUUUUAACUUGAUGGUACCUUUUCUCGCUCAAAACUUGCCCAGUUUUACACAACUGAUUUUGUUAAUCCUUCACUUUAUGCGUUCGGGGUCUUCGACUAGCCUCACACAGCCUUCUCGAACCCCUAAGUUACACAAGAGACCUCCGGUGUUUCCUGGCUCCUUACAGCAUCUGGAAGAUCUACUCUUGUGAGUGCAGUGAGGGGGCACCAUUGCCCAGAGGUCUGUCGUCUGCCGCCCCGUCACUUGCCGCUGAGACUGGGCCACACCGUUCACGGGAACGCCACAGAGCGUGAGUGAGCGCCAUUCAGUCCUGCGGGCUUCGCCGUCUGCGUGGGCUCUAGAUGGCCCAUCGACACUUACUUUUAUAAUUUUUUUUAACGUUUGUAUUUGAGAGAAAGCGAGAGAGACAGAGUGCUCUGCGGGGGCAGAGAGAGAGGGCGACACAGAAUCCGAAACAGGCUCCAGGCUCCGAGCUGUCAGCACAGAGCCCGACGCGGGGCUCAAACCCACGAGCUGUGAGAUCAUGACCUGAGCCGAAGUCGGACGCUUAACCGACUGAGCCACCCAGGCGCCCCAACGUUUACUUUAAAUUGUUAAUAUCUGCGUGGAGAUCACAGCGAUUUGACAUUUGGGAAGACGCACAUUGUGACGACAUUCCCUCUCAACCAGAAACGGAGCCGUGUCUCGUUCAUUCAUGUCCUCUCACGUGUCCCGCGGGAGAGCUGUCGCCAGUGUUUCCGCGUGUGUGGGGGGGACCCGACGCCGGUGCGCAGGUCGUCCAUGAGCCUUCCCCCAUGCCUCCGUGUCCGGGGUCAGGAGCAGCAGCCACAGCAUCUUGUCUCCUUCCUGAGCCUUCCAGGCCGAGAGUCUGGGACAGAUUUUCACAGCUUCACCAAACUGGAAGAAACUCCCUUCUUUUCCCGGUUUCCGAGUGUUCAGGGAGCGGGGCUUACACAGCCUCAGAGGAUUCCGCGGCACUCGUUAAGGGCUCCUCCCUCUGCCUCGGAGGCAGACGCAUGGCAGACCGGCUCCCCCAGCCUCUCCUGGCCUCCCUGUUGCCGCUCGAGGGAUGUGGCGCCGGGCACGCGCUCUGCACUAAGGGGUCCUUGCCGCCAUCGAGGCCUUCCUUUGAGCCCCCGGACACGGUGGGGCCGGAGUCCGACCUCACCUGACAGGGGCCGCCUGCCCCGCACACGACUUUACGCUCCAGCUUUCAGAAUCUUUCUUUCUCCGGACAGCAGAGAAGCAGGCUUUGCUUUACAGACCACUUGGGGAAUCUUUAAACAGGUGAGUUAAUUCAAUUCCCUGUUUACAGAUAGGACGAUACGCCGUGCACAAGUCUAACCUACCAGCCUGUUCUGUUCGCAUGCGGGCCUCUUAAGCCUUUCACCGCGAAGGAACGCGGGUCUCGUUACAAUUUUCCUGUCCUGUUGGCAAUUUGGAGUUUUGUCCUCCCGACCACCCUUUAUAAGCAGCCCGGCAUCUCCAGCCGUGUGUGGCACCCACGGGUCUGCCACCAUGGCCUCCGUGACCCCACCUCGCCAGCACCGCUCGGCCACCUUCGGUCUCCCUCCGGGAGUUACCGGCUCCGAUCCCCGGCUCCCACCAGAGGUGACCUGGGCUGCCCUUCCCUGCGUUGGGCACGAUACCCCAAGCGCGCUGCGCUCCCGGACAGUCUCCUGGCUCCGCGCCUCACACUCAAGCCUCUUACCCUGUAGCCGCUGCCCCUGACGAACCGCUCGGCUGGCCACAGGGUCUCUGGUCUCUGGCCCUCUCUUCUCCUGAACACCGUGUGGGAGCUGACCCUCUGUGCUCAGGCGCGGAGCCCUGUGUCCACAGCUGGCAAGCCAGCCUCAUUCUCCUCCCUGGUACGCAAGUCAGGGUCUUCGUCUGGCUACCAGAGGGUUUUGCCACACCCAUGAUUUUGAUACCGUAUUUACUACGCUGGCCGUUCUGGAUGGAUUUCCCGGAAACACAGCACGGUCUUCACUUCCUUCCGGUGUCCGGAGCGCCCGCGGUCACGCAGAGACGGUCCUUGGCCUGGGCCCUGUGUUGUGCUGGUCUCGUCCUUCCCCGCUCUCUCCCCGCCGCGUCCCGCUCGGUCCCCGCGUCUGUCCCACGUCUGCCCCGCGCUCCCACGCGUUCCGGGCAGCUGAAGCUUCUGCCGGGAGAUGCCGGUCUCCUCCUGUUCCACCCCACGCCCCCUGCGUUCCCGAUUCAGCUCUGCCUGCCGUCUGGCCGCCUCUGACGCCUCACUCUCUCAAGUCCAGUGCUCUGUGACAGCAACCGUCCCAGUGGCUUCUCUCCACCACAGGCAGCUUCUGUGGUCCCUUCACCACCCCGCUCGGAGGGCGCCGGGGCUCCGCAGCAGCCGGACUCAGGGAAUGUGCACCGCGUGCUCUGUCUGGGGCACCUUCUCUCUCUCGGAAGACGGCCCUUCCCAAGCCCGUCACUCCUGCCUCCCAGGAGCCCCCACACCUCCUGUCUCCGCUGCCCCCUUCCGAGACUCAGUGCUGCUGCCCAGCAGGUGCCACCCGCACACGGCUCUUCGUCUCUUCCGACAAAGGCACUUCCAGGCUGAUGGCCUGUCUGUCCCCAGCCCCACCGGAGACGUACUCCAUAUACUUUUUGUUGCUGUUGCUCUGGGAGCGAGCAGCCACCCUCUCCUACCACAGUCCUACAUGUAUUUUAAUGUUUACAGGUUUCCUGUUGCUGCACCGUGGGUCCGCUCCUGUCUCCUGUUUUCUUCAUUGACCUUCUUUUAAGAUCUCUCCAAGCUGUUAGAUACGCAUUGAGUUCCUGGGUCUCCUCCACCCCCACAACUGCACCCAGUAAGCAGGGGAGUGAGGACCCUACUAAGGCCUCCUCCUUGGCUGCUGUGGCUGUUCAAAGUCUACCUUAUCUGAUGCUAAUGUACUACGAACAGCCUUCUCUGCACUAGCCUUUACUAAGUUGUUAAUUUUCUAGUACACUUACAAGCUUUCUGCUUCCUUUUUUUGUUUAACUUUUUAAAGUAAUCUCCACACCCAACAUGGGGCUUGAACUCAUGACCCCGAGAUCAGAGAGUCCCGUACUCCACAGACUGAGCCGGCCAGGUACCCCUCUAGUUCAUUCUUAAUACCUAAGUCACAGAGCUUCAGAUCAGAUUCCUGGGGCGCCUGGGUGGCUCAGUCGGUUAAGCGUCCGACUUCAGCUCAGGUCAUGAUCUCACGCUCUGUGAGUUCCAGCCCUGCAUUGGGCUCUGUGCUGACAGCUCAGAGCCUGGAGCCUGCUUCAGAUUCUGUGUCUCUCUCUCUCUCUGGCCCUCCCCUGUUCAUGCUCUGUCUCUC